Molecule: ribosomal RNA, 253 nt
Filed under: uncultured bacterium
Lineage: Bacteria
Description: partial 16S ribosomal RNA
Rfam family: Bacterial small subunit ribosomal RNA
Source: RNAcentral
UACAGAGGGUGCAAGCGUUGUUCGGAUUCACUGGGCGUAAAGGGUGCGUAGGUGGUCAGGUAAGUCUGAUGUGAAAUCUCUGGGCUCAACCCAGAAACUGCAUUGGAUACUAUCUGGCUAGAGGAGUGGAGGGGGGACUGGAAUACUUGGUGUAGCAGUGAAAUGCGUAGAUAUCAAGUGGAACACCAGUGGCGAAGGCGAGUCCCUGGACACUUCCUGACACUGAGGCACGAAAGCUAGGGGAGCAAACAGG